CCGAGUUAGGGUCCUCAAAGGCCCGAUCUCCCAACCCUUUGCUUAUUAUACCUUGUGUUGCUUCGGUAGGUCUGGCUCGUCCUACCGGAGGACCGUAAAACGUCCUCUGGAGAGUGCCUACCGAUAGCCCAAACCAAAAACUCUUGAACAAAACAUGUAUUGUCUGAGUAAACAAAAAAAUUAAAGCA
Molecule: unclassified non-coding RNA, 188 nt
Filed under: soil metagenome
Description: partial internal transcribed spacer 1
Source: RNAcentral